Molecule: long non-coding RNA, 2363 nt
Filed under: Nicotiana tabacum (common tobacco)
Lineage: Eukaryota; Viridiplantae; Streptophyta; Magnoliopsida; Solanales; Solanaceae
Description: long non-coding RNA (NTAB_LNC016470)
Source: RNAcentral
AGGAAUUAUAAAAAUCGUAAUUGUCCAAAGUCUUCAUCGUUAAAUUCCAAUAGAUCAAAUAGUUUUUUGGCAUCAUUUUUAAUUCUCCACCAGAACUUUCCUACAAAAUAAAAUUAGUACUUAGAUAGAAAUCCAUAGUAUGAAAGUGCAAACUCAGAGCAGUGUGGUAGAGUUGGCCCCUUGGGGACUCAGGACAAUACUAUCACAUAUAAGUUAGAGACAUACAUAUACAUGAUUUAAACAAAUGACAAAAGUAGAGGAAAAUCUAUAUAUGUUGUAGUGCUGGGAUGAAAAUGUAAUCGAAUGAUUCGAGUAACAGAACUUAUGGACAAAAAUCAUGCUUUAUUGGCCUUCCUCAUUUGUUUUUUAGCAUCCGGGCAUCUAGUUAUAUUCUCUCUAUAGUAUGAUUAUGUUGCUUCUUUUUGUUUAAUUUCUGUAUACUGAUGGAAAAACUAGAUUAGUGGAUUUCUUUUUCAAAAGGAACAUUAACUUUAGCAUAUAGCAUAUACUCAAUCAGCUCACUUUCAAUUAAUCUAUAAAUAACUAAAUACAAAUACCUUACCCAAAUCAAGGAUGUUGUUAGCUAGAAUUUGGUAUGUCCAGUAUGUUAUCCGAUUAAUAAUUUUUGAGAUAGAAAUGUAAUCUACUAGUGACUACCUCUUACAGGUGACUAUAAUCACUUAGCUAUCAUUGAUAUCUUAGAAUCUUGCAAUAAAUUAAAAGCGUAGGCACAAUUUCUAUUCCAUUAACCCUCCAAUCUGUAUAGAGAGAUACUAAAAAACUUUCAUCAGAUAAUUUGCUAACUCAAUUUUACCCUCAAGGAAUAUUGGUCUCAAUAUUUUAAAUUCCUAUCAGAACAAAGAUAAUCAUGUAGAUCUCUAUUCACUUAAAAGUUGAGCUAAACAAAGGGAAGCGAGGGCAUUUAAAAUGUUUUGUGUGAUUGAAAGUGAGUGAAAAAGAUAUAUAUGUUGGGAAGUGAAUACCUUUAUUCGCUUGGCAUCGUCUUUAAAUUCAUAAUUGUUGGGGUUACUAGAAAAUAACUUAUAUCAAGAUAUCUAAAAUUAAUUCUCAAACAACAAGAUUUGUAUUUGUGUACUUUCCACUCUAGCAAACAGAAAAUAAGAUAGUAAAUCAAAGAAGACAAAUCCAAAUUUACCUCUUCAGUUGAACUCAAAGAACGAUCUUAAGCUGAGAUAAUACACAAUAGAGACCAAAUCAAUAGUAGAAAUAUGCAAGAUUCAUAUGUUAAGAGAUAAAGAAUGAAGGAGAAAGACGACAAAUUGAUUAUUAUGCUCAACAAUCGAUAUACUGCAGAACAUUUUAUUUCCAAAGAUGGCACGUUCAAAGUUUGAUUACCUGGUCGAUGUAUAUUUUCUAUCAACUAAUCAUCCUACAACAGUUUUAAGGAGAGCAGGAAGUUAAUAGCUAAAAAGUCAGUUUACCCAGCUUUACCUACCAAACAUGCCAGUGCAUAAUGCCUUAACAUACCUCUAAAGUACCUCUAUCCUUUUUCUUUGCCUUCCUCGUUUUUGCUCUACGUUGAUCUUAUUUGAGAACAUGAAGAAUCCUCCGUUCACUGCAGUGUCCACAUGUAUAACCUAUACUAAAGCAAGCAAGAACUGAAUUGAUGCAAAAUACAAUACAGUCACAAGUAGGAUAAUAUAUUUAAACUUUGAUAUUUCAACCACAAAGUUAAAGUCUUAAUAACAUUAGAACUAAAUAUUGCGCUAGCAUAAAAAAAUAAAUAGUAUGUGUCAAUUGAUAUGCCAAAUUGAUCUACCUAACUCAAAUAUUGCCAUGUUUAUUCAAUAUCAAACUAGAGCCUCAGUCUUAGCUUCAGAAGCUAUACAAUUAAUAAUGAGAGAGAGAGAGAACAAGAAUUAACUACUAGACAAUAGAAUGUCAGAAUAAGAAUUUGUGCCCAGAUUGUAUAAUCGUAAAAAGUUAUUCUCCUACGAAAAUACAAGUGAAGGUCAUCCCUCCCCCUUAUGGGCUAGAGAAUUUCAUAUAACUAAAUACCAUUUACAAUAGAGAAAACCAAAUCUCAUUGUAAUUGAAGUAUAUCUUCAUCACUAUCUCAUAUUUUUAUCACUAAUUCAUAAAGCUUCAUGAAAAAGUACCAUAUCUUCUUGCACAUCUUUUAAUUAUCAAACCAUAUAAAUAACAAAAUAUUUUAGUUUCAACUACCAAGCCUCAAUGUAUGCAAUUAAGCCAUAAGCAUUUAUACGUUUAUGCUACAAAAACUUUAUGUCAAACUUAAGUAGAAAACUUAGGCGGACAUUUUGAACUCCACAAUUGGGAAGGAACACUAUAAUGCUUCAAAUGCAAAAUAAAAACAUACAAAGCACUGAAGAAAGUAAUUU